This 230-nucleotide ribosomal RNA is filed under the name uncultured bacterium. RNAcentral's name for it is "partial 16S ribosomal RNA". It matches the Rfam family "Bacterial small subunit ribosomal RNA", at positions 524 to 753 of the family's 1533-position model. The record is from RNAcentral.
UACGAAGGGGGCUAGCGUUGUUCGGAAUUACUGGGCGUAAAGCGCACGUAGGCGGAUUGUUAAGUUAGGGGUGAAAUCCCGGGGCUCAACCCCGGAACUGCCUUUAAUACUGGCAAUCUCGAGUCCGAGAGAGGUGAGUGGAAUUCCGAGUGUAGAGGUGAAAUUCGUAGAUAUUCGGAGGAACACCAGUGGCGAAGGCGGCUGCACUGGCUGGUACUGGACGUGAGGUG